This is a long non-coding RNA of Biomphalaria glabrata, 899 nucleotides long. RefSeq lists it as uncharacterized. The transcript is spliced from 7 exons. Lineage: Eukaryota; Metazoa; Mollusca; Gastropoda; Planorbidae. The record is from RefSeq and is a predicted model, not a curated record.
AUCCCAGUGAUACUGUACAGAUAACAACAUAUAAAGCAAAACAAAAUAUAAACAAAAUGAAAUGACACCACUCUAGGGUAUUAAUGAAUUUUCACUGCAAUGGAAAUACCAAAGUGAUGUAGUCAUAUAGAGCACUUGAAAAGUCAAGAAAACAAGGAAUAUGCUUGUAAUGAAACCCUCACUAAAAAUGCAACCAUCUCUCAAAAAUAUCCUAGCCGGUGGUUAGAGUUAAACAAAAGUUGCCAACUACAGACUUCAAAUGAUGUUUUAUUUAAUGAGCUCUUAAGAUUGUGUGAAGAUCAAACCCUGUCUGCCUUGACAUUGUACAUUAGCGCCGACAAUGAACAUUGUGUCCAUAAUGCUUCCUUUACUAAUGACAGUUUUUUUCUGUGAAUAUUCCAAUGGUUUAAUUGUUUCUAUCGCUGAAAAUUUCGUAUUCGACCUGAACAAUUCUACUGUUUAUAUCAAUUGCUAUAGAAACGAGUCUGAUAGUUCAAACAAGUCCUGCGGUGGCUUAUAUCUAAACAUUGUAAAAGCAGGUUGCCAACGAUUUGUCACUAGGUACACGACUUCCAAAUAUAUAGAAACAAUUUGGUUUUCUUUUUCAACUAUACUAACAGUCUACGUUAUUGUAUUAUUUUUCCUUGAAAAGUAUACAGAAAUUUUCACUAAAUGUAGGAUUGACUAUCUUGUGACGAAAAUAAGUGGAUAACCAGGAUGUUUAUUUUCUACAUUUUGUAGGUUUAUUUGAUAAAGAAGAUAUUUACUGCACAAUAGACGAGGCUUUUGUAUCUACAACACAUCACGAUUUUAAAAGGGAGAUCACUGCAAGAAAAUGUAGCAUCGAGGAAACACAUCAAUACAACUAAUUUAAUAAAGUUUAAUUCACUUAUUUUAAA